RNAcentral lists this ribosomal RNA (621 nucleotides) under marine bacterium SIMO-4443. Its description in RNAcentral is "bacterial SSU rRNA". It matches the Rfam family "Bacterial small subunit ribosomal RNA", at positions 73 to 675 of the family's 1533-position model. The record is from RNAcentral.
AAGGAGCUUGCUCCUUCGACGUUAGUCGGCGGGACGGGUGAGUAACACNUGGGCAACCUACCUUAUAGUUUGGGAUAACUCCGGGAAACCGGGGCUAAUACCGAANAAUCUGUUUCACCUCAUGGUGAAACACUGAAAGACGGUNUCGGCUGUCGCUAUAGGAUGGGCCCGCGGCGCAGUAGCUANUUGGUGAGGUAACGGCUCACCAAGGCGACGAUGCGUAGCCAACCUGAGAGGGUGAUCGGCCACACUGGGACUGAGACACGGCCCAGACUCCUACGGGAGGCAGCAGUAGGGNAAUCUUCCANAAUGGGCGAAAGCCUGAUGGAGCAACGCCGCGUGAGUGAAGAAGGAUUUCGGUUCGUAAAACUCUGUUGUAAGGGAAGAACAAGUACAGUAGUAACUGGCUGUACCUUGACGGUACCUUAUUAGAAAGCCACGGCUAACUACGUGCCAGCAGCCGCGGUAAUACGUAGGUGGCAAGCGUUGUCCGGAAUUAUUGGGCGUAAAGCGCGCGCAGGUGGUUUCUUAAGUCUGAUGUGAAAGCCCACGGCUCAACCGUGGAGGGUCAUUGGAAACUGGGAGACUUGAGUGCAGAAGAGGAUAGUGGAAUUCCAAGUG